This 100-nucleotide non-coding RNA is filed under the name Candidatus Kryptonium thompsonii. RNAcentral's name for it is "Bacterium JGI-4 TPP sequence". It matches the Rfam family "TPP riboswitch aptamer (THI element)". Rfam says of the family: Vitamin B(1) in its active form thiamin pyrophosphate (TPP) is an essential coenzyme that is synthesised by coupling of pyrimidine and thiazole moieties in bacteria. The previously detected thiamin-regulatory element, thi box was extended, resulting in a new, highly conserved RNA secondary structure, the THI element, which is widely distributed in eubacteria and also occurs in some archaea. Analysis of operon structures identified a large number of new candidate thiamin-regulated genes, mostly transporters, in various prokaryotic organisms. The record is from Rfam by way of RNAcentral. Lineage: Bacteria; Pseudomonadati; Candidatus Kryptoniota.
GUGGACCCGUGGGGGUGCUUCCCUUUUUGGGAGGCUGAGAGUAUACCCCUUGAACCUGAUCUGGGUAAUGCCAGCGUAGGGAAACGGGUCGUAAUUGAGG